UGGGGUGUAGCUCAGUGGAGAGCUCUUGUCUAGCAAACACCAGGCCCACAGGGUUCAAUCCCCAGCACCACAU
Molecule: transfer RNA, 73 nt
Filed under: Ictidomys tridecemlineatus (thirteen-lined ground squirrel)
Lineage: Eukaryota; Metazoa; Chordata; Mammalia; Rodentia; Sciuridae
Description: Spermophilus tridecemlineatus (thirteen-lined ground squirrel) tRNA
Rfam family: tRNA
About the family: Transfer RNA (tRNA) molecules are approximately 80 nucleotides in length. Their secondary structure includes four short double-helical elements and three loops (D, anti-codon, and T loops).
Source: Rfam by way of RNAcentral